Molecule: microRNA precursor, 193 nt
Filed under: Oryza brachyantha (malo sina)
Lineage: Eukaryota; Viridiplantae; Streptophyta; Magnoliopsida; Poales; Poaceae
Description: MIR812 microRNA precursor family
Rfam family: MIR812 microRNA precursor family
Source: Rfam by way of RNAcentral
AAUAACUUCAUUUUUUAGUUUUUUGAUACAAUAUUUUGACUCUUCGUCUUAUUUGAAAUUUUUUUGUGAUUAAUAUUUUUAUUGUUACUAGAUGAUAAAAUAUGAAUAGUACUUUAUGUGUGACUAAUUUGUUUAGUUUUUUGUACAAUUUUUUCAAGUAAGAUGAAUGGUCAAACGUUAGACACGGAAAAAC